Molecule: ribosomal RNA, 467 nt
Filed under: uncultured bacterium
Lineage: Bacteria
Description: partial 16S ribosomal RNA
Rfam family: Bacterial small subunit ribosomal RNA
Source: RNAcentral
GAUGAACGCUGGCGGCGCGCCUAACACAUGCCAGUCGAACGAUUAAAGCACCUUCGGGUGUGUAUAAAGUGGCGAACGGCUGAGUAACACGUGGGCAACCUGCCCCUUUCAUUGGGAUAGCCACGGGAAACCGUGGAUAAUACCGAAUACUUCGAGACUUCCGCAUGGAAGACUCGAGAAAGCUCCGGCGGAGAGGGAUGGGCCCGCGGCCUGUUAGCUUGUUGGUGGGGUAACGGCCUACCAAGGCAAUGAUGGGUAGCUGGGUUGAGAGACCGACCAGCCAGAUUGGGACUGAGACACGGCCCAGACUCCUACGGGAGGCAGCAGUGGGGAAUCUUGCACAAUGGGCGAAAGCCUGAUGCAGCGACGCCGCGUGCGGGAUGAAGGCCUUCGGGUUGUAAACCGCUCUCAGCAGGGACGAGGCGAAAGUGACGGUACCUGCAGAAGAAGCCCCGGCUAACUACGUG